UUUUUUUUUUCAGAAACACUCCAGAGGAGAGGGUAAGGCACUCUGAGAAACUGAAGUAGCAGCAGCGUGACACAAUAUGCCCUGACCUGUUAACUGGAGUUUUUACUCUUUAAAUGCAAACCUUUCACCACUAAGACUUUAGUCAGCGCUGCUGACCACACGAUGGUCCUUGAAUUAGCUUUGGAAAUUCACAUGAAUGUAUUCACGAGCAAAAACAGCAUCACAGUGCUGUUGGUUUGACUGUUGCCACUUGCCAAAAUAUUUUGUGUCAGCAGCUGAUUCUUAAUGAAGGACAAAAUAAGUAGCUGUAGUUAAAUGUAAGUUAAAAGAAGCUAAAUUGAAAACACUUAAAAACAAUUCUGUGCCUAAGUACUUUGCCUUUGUUAUCUGUCAUGUGUUUGUCAUGUGCCUCAGGGCUUUUGUAUAAAUGAAUAUUAUCUUAUCCCUGCCCAUGUGUUUUCUCUAUUCGCUGUCUGCGUUGCUAUUAGCCAGGCCAGCUUCCAGGAGAAUGGUUCUGGACCCUAUUUGUUUGCUUACAGGGCGAUGACGCGAGGGGAGCCGCGGUGGAGCAACGGACUCCAGUGCAGAGUGCGAGCUGGGCAGGGACGUGAUGAGCCCAGUGGAGGGAUGAGAUGGGGAUAGGAGACUUCUCCUUUUCUGCCUGGGACGAGGCUGGUGUGGACCCUGCUCUGAAGGAGGAAUUUCAGUCCUGCUUGUGAACACCUAACAAACAUUUAUCCUUUGUUGUGGGACAGUUACAUUGUGGGACAGGGUGGGAGUUUAGUGAGCAUAGAACAUUGUGUUUUAUAUGGGUUUUUUUUUUUUUUAUAUUGGGUUUGUUUAUUCCUGGGGAUUUUGACAACAUUUUAUUGCUUGUUUUUAGAAUUGUUUGUCAUUCUUGCUCCCUGGUUUGGAAAUAAUCUGUUUCUGAUCAGAACUACAUCAUCUUUGUACCCUGGGUUUCUGACUGGCGCACUCUCCCCUUGUAUCUAAAGAACCAGCCUCUAUAGUAAGACAUUCGCACCAGCAUGUCUACAUAUUCGCGAACAAAAACAGCAUCACAGUGCUGUUGGUUUGACUGGUGCCACUCGCCAAAAUAAUUUGUGUCAAAAGCUGAUUGUCAGUGAAGGAAAAAAUAAGUAGCUGUAGUUAAAUGUAAGUCAAAAGAAGCUAAAUUGAAAACACUUAAAAACAGUUGUGUGCCUAAUUACUCUGGCUGUGUUAUCUGUCAUGUUUAAGCAUGCAUAUAUUUAAUAUCAACUGCUUAUAGCUUUACAUCCAGUUUUACACAGACAGUCAGAUAAUUUAGUUGUGGUGAAAAUACAAUAUUUAAAGGUAUAUGAUUUAUUCAUUGCAUUUUUUCUUCAAGGGCUUUAAUUACCUGAUGCAUGCUUAAACAUCAAGGUAAGUAAAUCCCAAAUGUACUGUUUGGGAAAACCUGCAGUCACUUGAGACUGAAGAAGUCACUUGGAUGAGUGACAAAACGUUUGUCCCACUGAAAACACGAUGCCCAGAUGAACACAAUCAGCCUUUUGGGCUAUAGUUACCAAUUUGUACAUUGUUUUCUUCUUUUUCUAUGCUGAGUUUUCAGUUCUCUGUGUCAUAUCAAAGUGUUUUAGUAUUUGGUUUAAAUGCCUUAUGAAAAGGAAAAAAGAUACGGUCUCUGACAUCUUCAGUAUUCUGAUUAUUUUUUUAUAAACUAUAAACUACAUUCACUCCUAUAGGAGAAAGCCAAGUGCCCCAAAGAGAGAGUGGCUCUUUCUGCUGCCACACAUCGGUCUCUGGACAGGAAAAAGAAGGUUGGUGAAUCUCCAGCACAGACUAGGAAGAUGCAGCAGAAGCCAAAAUGUCCCACUACCAACAGAAACACUCCAGAGGAGAGGGUAAGGCACUCUGAGAAACUGAAACUCGAAACAAACCAAACACAACCCAGAGACCAAAAACAGAAAACACUGGAGCCCAGAAAACAACCAAACAAA
This is a long non-coding RNA of Oreochromis aureus, 1979 nucleotides long. RefSeq lists it as uncharacterized. Lineage: Eukaryota; Metazoa; Chordata; Actinopteri; Cichliformes; Cichlidae. The record is from RefSeq and is a predicted model, not a curated record. The transcript is spliced from 3 exons.